GCCAAGGCUGACUCUGAGGGUUGUCGCUGGCCUUUCGGGGCAUGUGCACGCCCGAGCUCUUAAAUCCACAACACACCUGUGAACCCACCGUAGGCCUUCGGGCUUAUGCAUUAUUUAUACUCUGUAUGUGUCAUAGAAUGUCCACGUUGCAUUAAAAACGCAAUAAAAUACAACUUUCAACAACGGAUCUCUUGGCUCUCGCAUCGAUGAAGAACGCAGCGAAAUGCGAUAAGUAAUGUGAAUUGCAGAUUUUCAGUGAAUCAUCGAAUCUUUGAACGCACCUUGCGCUCCUUGGUAUUCCGAGGAGCAUGCCUGUUUGAGUGUCAUCAAAUCAUCAACCCCGAUUCAUCUUGGGGCUUGGACUUGGAGCGUGCUGGCGAAGGUCGGCUCCUCUUUAAAUGCAUCAGUGGAAGAAUGCACCUUUUUUUCCCCUUCGGCGUGAUAAUCCUGUUGCGCCGUGUGUGGGUCGAAGGUGUUCCGCUUAUAAUCGUCCUCGGACAACAUAUACUUUUGACCUCAAAUCAGGUAGGACUACCCGCUGAACUUAAGCAUAUCAAUAAGCGGAGGAAAAGAAACUAACAAGGAUUCCCCUAGUAACUGCGAGUGAAGCGGGAAAAGCUCAAAUUUAAAAUCUGGCGGUCCUCUGGCCGUCCGAGUUGUAAUCUGGAGAAGCGUUUUCCGCGCUGGACCGUGUCAAAUUUCUCUUGAA
Molecule: ribosomal RNA, 709 nt
Filed under: uncultured Amphinema
Lineage: Eukaryota; Fungi; Basidiomycota; Agaricomycetes; Atheliales; Atheliaceae
Description: eukaryotic LSU rRNA
Rfam family: 5.8S ribosomal RNA (bases 172-326)
Source: RNAcentral